Molecule: unclassified non-coding RNA, 218 nt
Filed under: uncultured Thelephoraceae
Lineage: Eukaryota; Fungi; Basidiomycota; Agaricomycetes; Thelephorales; Thelephoraceae
Description: sequence contains ITS2
Source: RNAcentral
AAUUCUCAACUCCCCUCAGAUUCUGUCUGUAUGGUGAGCUUGGACUUGGAGGUUCUGCCGGUGUUUGCUGGCUCCUCUUGAAAUCAUUAGCUUUGAGUUGAUCUUGAUGGCUUGACCGGUGCGAUAAACAUCUACGCCGAUUCAUGCUGUCCUGAGCGACGUUGUCGGAGACGCUCUGGCUUAUAACCGUCUUCACCAAAGGAGACAACACCCUGAAC